GUGCUCGCUUUGGCAGCACAUAUAUUAAAGUUGGAAUGAUACAGGAAAAUUGGCAUGGCGCAAGGAUAACAGGCAAAUUCAUGAAGCAUUCCAUAUUUUA
This 100-nucleotide small nuclear RNA is filed under the name Sus scrofa (pig). Lineage: Eukaryota; Metazoa; Chordata; Mammalia; Artiodactyla; Suidae. The record is from RNAcentral.